UAGGGAAUCUUCGGCAAUGGACGAAAGUCUGACCGAGCAACGCCGCGUGAGUGAAGAAGGUUUUCGGAUCGUAAAACUCUGUUGUUAGAGAAGAACAAGGACGUUAGUAACUGAACGUCACCUGACGGUAUCUAACCAGAAAGCCACGGCUAACUACGUGCCAGCAGCCGCGGUAAUACGUAGGUGGCAAGCGUUGUCCGGAUUUAUUGGGCGUAAAGCGAGCGCAGGCGGUUUCUUAAGUCUGAUGUGAAAGCCCCCGGCUCAACCGGGGAGGGUCAUUGGAAACUGGGAGACCUGUGUGCAGAAGAGGAGAGUGGAAUUCCAUGUGUAGCGGUGAAAUGCGUAGAUAUAUGGAGGAACACCAGUGGCGAAGGCGGCUCUCUGGUCUGUAACUGACGCUGAGGCUCGAAAGCGUGGGGAGCAAACAGG
Molecule: ribosomal RNA, 429 nt
Filed under: Gemmatimonadota bacterium
Lineage: Bacteria; Pseudomonadati; Gemmatimonadota
Description: Gemmatimonadetes bacterium partial 16S ribosomal RNA
Rfam family: Bacterial small subunit ribosomal RNA
Source: RNAcentral